RNAcentral lists this ribosomal RNA (496 nucleotides) under uncultured bacterium. RNAcentral describes it as "partial 16S ribosomal RNA". It matches the Rfam family "Bacterial small subunit ribosomal RNA", at positions 28 to 506 of the family's 1533-position model. The record is from RNAcentral.
GAUGAACGCUGGCGGCGUGCCUAAUACAUGCAAGUCGAGCGAACAGACGAGGAGCUUGCUCCUCUGACGUUAGCGGCGGACGGGUGAGUAACACGUGGAUAACCUACCUAUAAGACUGGGAUAACUUCGGGAAACCGGAGCUAAUACCGGAUAAUAUAUUUAACCGCAUGGUUCAAUAGUGAAAGACGGUUUUGCUGUCACUUAUAGAUGGAUCCGCGCCGAAUUAGCUAGUUGGUAAGGUAACGGCUUACCAAGGCAACGAUGCGUAGCCGACCUGAGAGGGUGAUCGGCAACACUGGAACUGAGACACGGUCCAGACUCCUACGGGAGGCAGAAGUAGGGAAUCUUCCGCAAUGGGCGAAAGCCUGACGGAGCAACGCCGCGUGAGUGAUGAAGGUCUUCGGAUCGUAAAACUCUGUUAUUAGGGAAGAACAAAUGUGUAAGUAACUAUGCACGUCUUGACGGUACCUAAUCAGAAAGCCACGCCUAACUACGU